RNAcentral lists this ribosomal RNA (319 nucleotides) under uncultured eukaryote. RNAcentral's name for it is "partial 18S ribosomal RNA". It matches the Rfam family "Eukaryotic small subunit ribosomal RNA", at positions 1470 to 1796 of the family's 1831-position model. The record is from RNAcentral.
CCCUUUGAUACUCUGGGCGGCACGCGCGCUACACUGGUUUAUAUAACGUGUAAUUUGGACGAUAGUCUGUAUAAAUCACUAAUAUAAAACCGUGAAUGGGAUAGUUUAUUGCAACUUACAAACUUUAACUAGGAAUCCCUUGUAGAAGUAGUGAAUUAUACUGCUUCGAAUACGUCCCUGCCGAUUGUACACACCGCCCGUCGCUCCUACCGAUUGGAUGCUCAGGUGAGCCAUUCGGACUUUCAUCAUGCUGGUUUCCAGUUUUGAUGAAGGAAAGUCUUGCGAACCUUAUCAUUUAGAGGAAGGAGAAGUCGUAACA